Molecule: ribosomal RNA, 404 nt
Filed under: uncultured bacterium
Lineage: Bacteria
Description: bacterial SSU rRNA
Rfam family: Bacterial small subunit ribosomal RNA
Source: RNAcentral
UUUUGGACAAUGGGGGGCAAGCCUGGUCCAGCCAUUCCGCGUGAGUGAAGAAGGCCUUCGGGUUGUAGAGCUUUUUUGCAAGGGGAACCACGAUUACUCUUUAAUAUAGAGUGAUUAUGACGGUACCUUGAUAAGAAGCACCGGCUAACUACGUGCCAGCAGCCGCGGGUAAUACGUAGGGUGCGAGCGUUAAUCGGAAUUACUGGGCGUAAAGCGUGCGCAGGCGGUUUCGUAAGUCAGAUGUGAAAUCCCCGAGCUCAACUUGGGAACUGCGUUUGAAACUACAAGACUAGAAUAGGUCAGAGGGGGGUAGAAUUCCACGUGUAGCAGUGAAAUGCGUAGAGAUGUGGAGGAAUAUCAAUGGCGAAGGCAGCCCCCGGGAUCAUAUUACGCUCAGCAGAAAG